ACGGUAAUCCCCACGGAACAAAGGGACGUGGGCGCGAACGUGGUUUAAGAGUCUUUAUGCUUCGAUUUUCCCGCUGGCGCCUGUGUCUGUUAUCAUUCAUUAAAUGCUACAUGGCGGGUGUUUCUCUUAUUAACUGAACAUAGCACUUAGCAUUAAGAUAACCUAGGCGGGGCGGAAACGCGGCUUAUACUGUUUAAAAACAGAUUAGCCACCCUAGAGAGAAACUAGCGCUAGCUAUUGUCUCAUGUUAGCGCACCCGGCACUGCUAGCGUGUGAUGGAAUUUAGCUAGGCGGCUGGGCAAGCCAUCAUCAGAUAUCACCACAUAGCCACCCUAAAUGGAUUUUACCUUGCUACCGACUGCAUCCCAGACUAAAUGGGUAUGCUCCAGAGGUCCGCUGUGGCCCGGUGCUCCUCCCCUCCCCGCUUUGGUACGAUGCGUCUCCACGGGGUCAGUGAACAUCACGGUCCCGCUAAACGUGUGGGCUGGGAAGAGAAGGACGAGCAAAGAGAAAUGCAACAGGAAAAUGUUUACAAACCUGCCACAGGGUGAGUCUUGUGCCGUUUAGAGCCGUGUGGUGCCAUGGAUGUCAAUCAGGCUGUGCAGGCUGCCAAAUCAGCCUUCGGCCACUGGGAUGGAGAGGGCAAAGGCAAUGAGAGAAGCUGCCCAGCUUAUUAAUUUAUUCUAGCAGGAGAGAGGAGAUAGCUCAGAUGGAGGUGGUUAACGAUGGGAAGUCCAUCACGGAGGCUUGUCUGAACGUGCACUCUGCCAGAUUGUGCAUAUACUAGCCGGGCUGGCCAGGACUCCGGCAGGCCAGCAUGUCCAAUUGCCAGGAGAAUCCUCUUUUCUACACAUGGAGCCUUUGGGAGUCGACUUUGGUGCUUGAAAUGAUCCUUUCCAGAUAGCUGCCUGGAAAUCCGCUCCAGCAUUGGCCUGCGGUUGCAGUGAUGAGAUGACCUGUGUGAAGGAGGAGAUCGUUGGUCCUGUCAUGUCUGUGUUGUCUUUUGAAAGAGAAGAGGAAGUGCUGCAGAGAGCCACUGACACCGCCACGGGUGCUGGAGCUUUCACAAGGGAUGUGAUGCGAGCCCAUCAUGUGGUUGAACACCUCAAGGCUGGGUCCUGUUUCAUCGACAACUACAAUAUCACCUGUUGAGGUGCCCAUGGAGGCUUCAGAAUGUCAGGUAUAGGGCGGGAGAAUGGCCAGGUGACCUUUGAAUACUACUCCCAGCUGAAGACUGUUUGUGGAGAUGGGCAAUGUGGACAACCUCUUCUAGGGAACCCAGAGGAAGAUGGAGCUGUAAAGCUAAACCAGAGACUGGAACAGAUGGUAUGAACAGGAACACCACCUCCAUCACUCAGGGAAAAAUCAUCUAACAUUAAUGCUCAAAAUAAUGAGAAACGAGAUUUUAUGAAUUGGGCCUCAAGAAUAAAAGGACAACAUCAGACAGGGAAAGGAAACCUAAGGAAAACAGUUGUGGUGAUUAAGGAGAACGUUGGUAACAUAACAUUAGAUUGGGAAAUAUAUUAGAAAUAGAAACAAAGUUGUCUGUCAAAUGGAGACAGUUUUUUAGUAUUUCCUUAAUUUUGAUAGAUUUUAACUACUUAAGCAGAGAUGAUUUGCAUUUUAUGAAUCAUGAGUUGCACUGCAGCAGUUUGUCUUGCCAAAUAUGUUGUCGCUUAUGUACAGAAUUAAAAAUUAGUUUUUGUACAACAAAU
Long non-coding RNA from Monopterus albus (swamp eel), 1715 nucleotides. RefSeq lists it as uncharacterized. The record is from RefSeq and is a predicted model, not a curated record. NCBI's taxonomy places the organism in Eukaryota, Metazoa, Chordata, Actinopteri, Synbranchiformes, Synbranchidae. The transcript is spliced from 8 exons.